RNAcentral lists this long non-coding RNA (590 nucleotides) under Homo sapiens (human). RNAcentral describes it as "long non-coding RNA NONHSAT027946.2". The record is from RNAcentral. Lineage: Eukaryota; Metazoa; Chordata; Mammalia; Primates; Hominidae.
UUUUUACAAAAACAUGCAUACAUACACAGGGUAUGGUGGGUCCUAGGAAAGACACACACACACGCCUCACUCACACACACGCUCACACACACGCCUCACUCACACACAUGCUCACACACAUUUUCCUUCUUGACCCCAGGCCUGGACCCCCAAAAGCCUUGAAGACUUUGCCAGAGCAGCCUCCCCUCCUCCAUGUCUGUAUCUUCUCUCCCACCCCUUCCCCCUCAGUCAGGCUACUCCUAUGUGGGGUGGGAAUCAGAGCUAUGGUGGGGGAGGCCCCAGAAACAGAGAAGGCUCCCCGAGUGGGCAGUGGCCGAGGGGUCCCAGGGGUAUGCUGCGCUUCUUGGGGAGAUGAAGGGUUUGGCACCAUUGGAUCAGGAAGCACAGGACUCCCAGAGCACCCAUCUGCUCCACCAGGGCAUCGCCAGGAGGUUGAUGUAGGGGGGCCUCUGGCGAGGGUACGGACCAGAUGGAGGGCUGCCAGUCUCGGCUGUCAGGGAGCUUCGUCUCAGUGCCCAGUGGUAGAGGGAAGCUUCCAGAGUCGUCUGAGGAAGCAGCCCCUGGCACUCUAGGCACCCAGGAGUCUGGAC